Felis catus (domestic cat) is the source of this 427-nucleotide long non-coding RNA. RefSeq lists it as uncharacterized. The record is from RefSeq and is a predicted model, not a curated record. NCBI's taxonomy places the organism in Eukaryota, Metazoa, Chordata, Mammalia, Carnivora, Felidae. The transcript has 3 exons.
AGAAUGUGAGUUGGACCUAGUACUUACUCCUGGCAAACAGACUAUGGCAGAAGUGAGGAGAUGUUUCUCUCAAGAUUAGGUUACAAAAAGAAUGGACCUUCAGCUGUCCCUCUAGCAGAUACAGUUUAGGACCAUUCUAUCAUUCAAAAAGAAAAAAAUCAGCAAAUUUUCUACUGGGAUUAAGAUCAUUAACUGGAGACGUGCCACUGCUGGUCUGGAAAGAAUACUAACUAUAGUGACUGGCUAACAAUUCAACUAAACAAUCACUGACUCCAUGUUGCCCAGGCCAAGAUGUUCCGGUAGGUGCCUGCAAGGGACAGAAAGUAGGGUACAACUUCUACCUCAAAGGAUUUACAAACUGACAAGGACACAUCAACUACCCCAGGAAGGGGGGCUUGAGAAGGACUGUGUGGAGCCUUGAAGAGUA